AUUGAACGCUGGCGGUAUGCUUAACACAUGCAAGUCGAACGAUGAGAAAGAGCUUGCUCUUUCGAUUAGUGGCGGACGGGUGCGUAACGCGUAGGAAUCUACCUAUUAGUGGGGGACAACUUAGGGAAACUUAAGCUAAUACCGCAUACGCCCUACGGGGGAAAGAAGGGGAUCGCAAGACCUUUUGCUAAUAGAUGAGCCUGCGUAGGAUUAGCUAGUUGGUGGGGUAAAAGCUCACCAAGGCGACGAUCCUUAACUGGUUUGAGAGAAUGAUCAGUCACAAUGGAACUGGGACACGGUCCAGACUCCUACGGGAGGCAGCAGUGGGGAAUAUUGGACAAUGGGCGAAAGCCUGAUCCAGCAAUACCGCGUGUGUGAAGAAGGCCUUAGGGUUGUAAAGCACUUUCAAUUGGAAGGAAAACCUCGAAGCUAAUACCUUCGAGUUUGACAUUACCUUUAGAAGAAGCACCGGCUAACUCCGUGCCAGCAGCCGCGGUAA
RNAcentral lists this ribosomal RNA (499 nucleotides) under uncultured bacterium. RNAcentral describes it as "partial 16S ribosomal RNA". It matches the Rfam family "Bacterial small subunit ribosomal RNA", at positions 30 to 523 of the family's 1533-position model. The record is from RNAcentral.